This 253-nucleotide ribosomal RNA is filed under the name uncultured bacterium. Its description in RNAcentral is "partial 16S ribosomal RNA". It matches the Rfam family "Bacterial small subunit ribosomal RNA", at positions 524 to 776 of the family's 1533-position model. The record is from RNAcentral.
UACGUAGGUGACCAGCGUUGUCCGGAUUUACUGGGCGUAAAGAGCGCGCAGGCGGUCGUUCAAGUCGAGUGUGAAAGCCCCCGGCUCAACUGGGGAGGGUCACUCGAUACUGAUCGACUUGAAGGCAGGAGAGGGAAGCGGAAUUCCCGGUGUAGUGGUGAAAUGCGUAGAUAUCGGGAGGAACACCUGUGGCGAAAGCGGCUCACUGGACCACAACUGACGCUGAGGCGCGAAAGCGUGGGGAGCAAACAGG